UACGGGGGGGGCAAGCGUUGUUCGGAAUUACUGGGCGUAAAGGGCUCGUAGGUUGCCAACUAAGUCAGACGUGAAAUCCCUCGGCUUAACCGGGGAACUGCGUCUGAUACUGGAUGGCUCGAGUUCGGGAGAGGGAUGCGGAAUUCCAGGUGUAGCGGUGAAAUGCGUAGAUAUCUGGAGGAACACCGGUGGCGAAGGCGGCAUCCUGGACCGACACUGACACUGAGGAGCGAAAGCCAGGGGAGCAAACGGG
Molecule: ribosomal RNA, 253 nt
Filed under: uncultured bacterium
Lineage: Bacteria
Description: partial 16S ribosomal RNA
Rfam family: Bacterial small subunit ribosomal RNA
Source: RNAcentral